Molecule: non-coding RNA, 80 nt
Organism: Python bivittatus (Burmese python)
Lineage: Eukaryota; Metazoa; Chordata; Lepidosauria; Squamata; Pythonidae
Source: RefSeq, a predicted model, not a curated record
CUUCUCAGCCGAUGAAUAGUUGAUAUAUGUUGUUUGCUGUGAUGAUGGUUAGUAUUGCGAUUAGGAAGAUGGAAAGGUAA